CACUCUGUGCAGCCGCUCCAGGGAGGCAGCAGUUGUGGUGACUGGAGCGGCUGCACAGAGCGU
Molecule: microRNA precursor, 63 nt
Organism: Bos indicus x Bos taurus (hybrid cattle)
Lineage: Eukaryota; Metazoa; Chordata; Mammalia; Artiodactyla; Bovidae
Source: Ensembl